RNAcentral lists this ribosomal RNA (716 nucleotides) under uncultured bacterium. Its description in RNAcentral is "bacterial SSU rRNA". It matches the Rfam family "Bacterial small subunit ribosomal RNA", at positions 62 to 795 of the family's 1533-position model. The record is from RNAcentral.
UCGAGCGAUGAGUUCCUUCGGGAACGGAUUAGCGGCGAACGGGUGAGGAACACGUGAGGAAUCUGCCUUCUACUCUGGGAUAACUCCGGGAAACCGGGGCUAAUACCGGAUAUGAAACCUGAUGGCAUCAUCGGGUUUGGAAAGUUUUUCGGUAGAAGAUGACCUCGCGGCCUAUCAGCUUGUUGGUGAGGUAAUGGCUCACCAAGGCGACGACGGGUAGCCGGCCUGAGAGGGCGACCGGCCACACUGGGACUGAGACACGGCCCAGACUCCUACGGGAGGCAGCAGUGGGGAAUAUUGGGCAAUGGAGGAAACUCUGACCCAGCGACGCCGCGUGCGGGAUGAAGGCCUUCGGGUUGUAAACCGCUUUCAGCAGGGAAGAAGCGAAAGUGACGGUACCUGCAGAAGAAGCACCGGCUAACUAUGUGCCAGCAGCCGCGGUAAUACAUAGGGUGCAAGCGUUGUCCGGAAUUAUUGGGCGUAAAGAGCUCGUAGGUGGUUCGUUACGUCGGAUGUGAAAAUCUGGGGCUCAACCCCAGACCUGCAUUCGAUACGGGCGAACUAGAGUGUGGUAGGGGAGACUGGAAUUCCUGGUGUAGCGGUGGAAUGCGCAGAUAUCAGGAGGAACACCAAUGGCGAAGGCAGGUCUCUGGGCCAUUACUGACACUGAGGAGCGAAAGCGUGGGGAGCGAACAGGAUUAGAUACCCUGGUAGUC